GCCUGGCAUGGUGGCGCAUGCCUGUAGUCCCAGCUACUCGGGAGGCUGAGACAGGAGAAUUGCUUGAACCUGGGAGACAGGGGUUGCGGUGAGCCGAGGUCAUGCCACCGCACUCCAGCCUGGGUGACACAGUGAGACUCUGUCUCAA
RNAcentral lists this non-coding RNA (148 nucleotides) under Homo sapiens (human). The record is from Rfam by way of RNAcentral. Lineage: Eukaryota; Metazoa; Chordata; Mammalia; Primates; Hominidae.